Molecule: unclassified non-coding RNA, 456 nt
Filed under: Hevea brasiliensis (rubber tree)
Lineage: Eukaryota; Viridiplantae; Streptophyta; Magnoliopsida; Malpighiales; Euphorbiaceae
Source: RNAcentral
CUUGAAAAUCCUGCACCAACAAACAACAUAUUUAGCACAAACAGAAAUUCCUUAGAAGAGAUUAUACGCAUCUAACUAUAAUAUGAGACAUCAAAACAAUAUUGGUAACCACUAAAUGGAGUGAUAUAAAUCAGAUAAUAUCCUUAUUUUGGUGCAAAUAUUAGCUGAAAAAUGUUGAAAUAUAAAUCGUUAAUACUGAAUAAGGAGAGUUCUGUGCAACAAGGCAAUUGAGAAUGAGAAAAGAAUGAGAGGAAGAGCAAUCAAGAGUUACUCUGACCUGAAAAUGAUUUUGAUAUGACGAGUAUUUCAAAAGGGGAAAAGGCAGGGGAGAAAAAUCAACAUAAAUCAUAAACACUGAAUAAUGAAAGUUCUGUGCAACAAGGCAAAUGUGAAUGAGAAAAGAAUGAGUGAAAAGCAAUCCAGAGUAUUCUGACCUGAAAAUGAUUUUGAUAUGAC